This 2274-nucleotide ribosomal RNA is filed under the name Acinetobacter baumannii. RNAcentral describes it as "partial 23S ribosomal RNA". It matches the Rfam family "Bacterial large subunit ribosomal RNA", at positions 1 to 2311 of the family's 2925-position model. The record is from RNAcentral. Lineage: Bacteria; Pseudomonadati; Pseudomonadota; Gammaproteobacteria; Moraxellales; Moraxellaceae.
AGUCAAGUAAUUAAGUGCAUGUGGUGGAUGCCUUGGCAGUCAGAGGCGAUGAAAGACGUGAUAGCCUGCGAAAAGCUCCGGGGAGGCGGCAAAUAUCCUUUGAUCCGGAGAUGUCUGAAUGGGGGAACCCACCUACUUUAAGGUAGGUAUUGCAACAUGAAUACAUAGUGUUGCAAGGCGAACGAGGGGAAGUGAAACAUCUCAGUACCCUUAGGAAAAGAAAUCAAUUGAGAUUCCCUCAGUAGCGGCGAGCGAACGGGGAUCAGCCCAUUAAGUUAUGUGUGUUUUAGUGGAACGCUCUGGGAAGUGCGAACGUAGAGGGUGAUAUUCCCGUACACGAAAGGGCACACAUAAUGAUGACGAGUAGGGCGAGGCACGUGAAACCUUGUCUGAAUAUGGGGGGACCAUCCUCCAAGGCUAAAUACUCCUGACUGACCGAUAGUGAACCAGUACCGUGAGGGAAAGGCGAAAAGAACCCCUGUGAGGGGAGUGAAAUAGAUCCUGAAACCGCAUGCAUACAAGCAGUGGGAGCACCUUCGUGGUGUGACUGCGUACCUUUUGUAUAAUGGGUCAGCGACUUAUAUUCAGUAGCGAGGUUAACCGUAUAGGGGAGCCGUAGAGAAAUCGAGUCUUAAUAGGGCGUUUAGUUGCUGGGUAUAGACCCGAAACCAGGCGAUCUAUCCAUGAGCAGGUUGAAGGUUGGGUAACACUAACUGGAGGACCGAACCCACUGUCGUUGAAAAGCCAGGGGAUGACUUGUGGAUAGGGGUGAAAGGCUAAUCAAGCCUGGUGAUAGCUGGUUCUCCCCGAAAGCUAUUUAGGUAGCGCCUCGGACGAAUACCAUAGGGGGUAGAGCACUGUUUCGGCUAGGGGGUCAUCCCGACUUACCAAACCGAUGCAAACUCCGAAUACCUAUGAGUACUAUCCGGGAGACAGACUGCGGGUGCUAACGUCCGUAGUCAAGAGGAAAACAAUCCAGACCGCCAGCUAAGGCCCCAAAAUCAUAGUUAAGUGGGAAACGAUGUGGGAAGGCAUAGACAGCUAGGAGGUUGGCUUAGAAGCAGCCACCCUUUAAAGAAAGCGUAAUAGCUCACUAGUCGAGUCGGCCUGCGCGGAAGAUGUAACGGGGCUAAAACUAUGUGCCGAAGCUGCGGAUGUAUACUUUGUAUACGUGGUAGGGGAGCGUUCUGUAAGCCGAUGAAGGUGUGUUGAGAAGCAUGCUGGAGGUAUCAGAAGUGCGAAUGCUGACGUGAGUAACGACAAAACGGGUGAAAAACCCGUUCGCCGAAAGACCAAGGGUUCCAGUCCAACGUUAAUCGGGGCUGGGUGAGUCGACCCCUAAGGCGAGGCCGAAAGGCGUAGUCGAUGGGAAAAUGGUUAAUAUUCCAUUACUUCUGUGUAAUGCGAUGAGAGGACGGAGAAGGCUAAAUCAGCCUGGCGUUGGUUGUCCAGGUGAAAGGAUGUAGGCAUGUAUCUUAGGCAAAUCCGGGGUACUCUAUGCUGAGAUCUGAUAGCAAGCUGUACUUGUACAGCGAAGUGGUUGAUGCCAUGCUUCCAGGAAAAGUCUCUAAGCUUCAGUUACACAGGAAUCGUACCCGAAACCGACACAGGUGGUCAGGUCGAGUAGACCAAGGCGCUUGAGAGAACUCUGCUGAAGGAACUAGGCAAAAUGGUACCGUAACUUCGGGAGAAGGUACGCUGUUGUUGGUGAUGGAACUCGCUUCCUGAGCUGACGACAGCCGCAGAAACCAGGCCGCUGCAACUGUUUAUUAAAAACAUAGCACUCUGCAAACACGAAAGUGGACGUAUAGGGUGUGAUGCCUGCCCGGUGCUGGAAGGUUAAUUGAUGGGGUUAGCGUAAGCGAAGCUCUUGAUCGAAGCCCCAGUAAACGGCGGCCGUAACUAUAACGGUCCUAAGGUAGCGAAAUUCCUUGUCGGGUAAGUUCCGACCUGCACGAAUGGCAUAAUGAUGGCGGCGCUGUCUCCAGCAGAGGCUCAGUGAAAUCGAAAUCGCUGUGAAGAUGCAGUGUACCCGCGGCUAGACGGAAAGACCCCGUGAACCUUUACUGCAGCUUGACACUGAACUUUGACCUUACUUGUGUAGGAUAGGUGGGAGGCUUUGAAGCUGGAACGCUAGUUCCAGUGGAGCCGUCCUUGAAAUACCACCCUGGUAAUGUUGAGGUUCUAACUCUGUCCCGUGAUCCGGGACGAGGACCGUGUCUGGUGGGUAGUUUGACUGGGGCGGUCUCCUCCUAAAGAGUAACGGAGGAGUAC